GUGGAUUAGAUACCCGGGUAGUCCACGCCGUAAACGAUGAUAACUAGCUGUCCGGGUGCAUGGCACUUGGGUGGCGCAGCUAACGCAUUAAGUUAUCCGCCUGGGGAGUACGGUCGCAAGAUUAAAACUCAAAGGAAUUGACGGGGGCCUGCACAAGCGGUGGAGCAUGUGGUUUAAUUCGAAGCAACGCGCAGAACCUUACCAGCGUUUGACAUCCUGAUCGCGGUUACCAGAGAUGGUUUCCUUCAGUUCGGCUGGAUCAGUGACAGGUGCUGCAUGGUGGUCGUCAGCU
RNAcentral lists this ribosomal RNA (292 nucleotides) under uncultured bacterium. RNAcentral's name for it is "partial 16S ribosomal RNA". It matches the Rfam family "Bacterial small subunit ribosomal RNA", at positions 773 to 1060 of the family's 1533-position model. The record is from RNAcentral.